RNAcentral lists this ribosomal RNA (239 nucleotides) under uncultured bacterium. Its description in RNAcentral is "partial 16S ribosomal RNA". It matches the Rfam family "Bacterial small subunit ribosomal RNA", at positions 15 to 248 of the family's 1533-position model. The record is from RNAcentral.
GAUCCUGGCUCAGGAUGAACGCUAGCGACAGGCUUAACACAUGCAAGUCGAGGGGCAGCACGAUGUAGCAAUACAUUGGUGGCGACCGGCGCACGGGUGAGUAACGCGUAUGCAACCUACCUAUCAGAGGGGAAUAACCCGGCGAAAGUCGGACUAAUACCGCAUAAAACAGGGGUUCCACAUGGAAAUAUUUGUUAAAGAAUUAUCGCUGAUAGAUGGGCAUGCGUUCCAUUAGAUAG